Molecule: ribosomal RNA, 527 nt
Filed under: uncultured bacterium
Lineage: Bacteria
Description: bacterial SSU rRNA
Rfam family: Archaeal small subunit ribosomal RNA
Source: RNAcentral
GACGACCAGUGGCGAAAGCGUUUAACUAGAACGAAUCUGACGGUAAGGAACGAAGGCUAGGGUAGCAAACCGGAUUAGAUACCCGGGUAGUCCUAGCUGUAAACAUUGCCCAUUUGAUGUUGCUUUCCCGUUGAGGGAAGGCAGUGUCGGAGCGAAGGUGUUAAAUGGGCCGCUUGGGAAGUAUGGUCGCAAGACUGAAACUUAAAGGAAUUGGCGGGGGAGCACCGCAACGGGAGGAAUGUGCGGUUUAAUUGGAUUCAACGCCGGAAAACUCACCGGGAACGACCUGUGCAUGAGAGUCAACUUGACGAGCUUACUCGAUAGCAGGAGAGGUGGUGCAUGGCCGUCGUCAGCUCGUACCGUAGGGCGUUCACUUAAGUGUGAUAACGAGCGAGACCCACAUCUUUAAUUGCAAAUGUAUAUGGGAAUAUGCAUGCACUUUAGAGAAACCGCCAGCGCUAAGCUGGAGGAAGGAGUGGUCGACGGCAGGUCAGUACGCCCCGAAUUUCCCGGGCUACACGCGCAUU